Molecule: ribosomal RNA, 696 nt
Filed under: uncultured bacterium
Lineage: Bacteria
Description: bacterial SSU rRNA
Rfam family: Bacterial small subunit ribosomal RNA
Source: RNAcentral
AGGGUUUGAUCAUGGCUCAGAACGUACGCUGGCGGCACGCCUUAUACAUGCAAGUCGAACGAAGUAGCAAUACUUAGUGGCAGACGGGUGAGUAACAUGUGGGUAUCUUCCCUUUGGUGAGGAAUAACACGAGGAAACUUGUGCUAAUACCUCAUAAGUCUUUACGGAGAAAGCUUUAUGCGCCAAUGGAUGAGCCCGCACUUGAUUAGUUUGUUGGUGGGGUAAUAGCCUACCAAGACUUUGAUCAAUAGCUGAUUUGAGAGGAUGAUCAGCCACAUUGGGACUGAGACACGGCCCAAACUCCUACGGGAGGCAGCAGUAGGGAAUCUUGCACAAUGGAGGAAACUCUGAUGCAGCGAUGCCGCGUGAGUGAAGAAGGCCUUUGGGUUGUAAAGCUCUUUCGUCGGGGAAGAAAAUGACUGUACCCGAAUAAGAAGGUCCGGCUAACUUCGUGCCAGCAGCCGCGGUAAUACGAAGGGACCUAGCGUAGUUCGGAAUUACUGGGCUUAAAGAGUUCGUAGGUGGUUAAAAAAGUUGGUGGUGAAAUCCCAGAGCUUAACUCUGGAACUGCCAUCAAAACUUUUUAGCUAGAGUAUGAUAGAGGAAAGCAGAAUUUCUAGUGUAGAGGUGAAAUUCGUAGAUAUUAGAAAGAAUACCAAUUGCGAAGGCAGCUUUCUGGAUCAUUACUGACACUGA